AAUAGAUACCCGGGUAGUCCACGCCGUAAACGAUGAGUGCUAAGUGUUAGAGGGUUUCCGCCCUUUAGUGCUGCAGCUAACGCAUUAAGCACUCCGCCUGGGGAGUACGGCCGCAAGGCUGAAACUCAAAGGAAUUGACGGGGGCCCGCACAAGCGGUGGAGCAUGUGGUUUAAUUCGAAGCAACGCGAAGAACCUUACCAGGUCUUGACAUCCUCUGCCAACCCUAGAGAUAGGGCGUUCCCCUUCGGGGGACAGAGUGACAGGUGGUGCAUGGUUGUCGUCAGCUCGUGUCGUGAGAUGUUGGGUUAAGUCCCGCAACGAGCGCAACCCUUGAUCUUAGUUGCCAGCAUUCAGUUGGGCACUCUAAGGUGACUGCCGGUGACAAACCGGAGGAAGGUGGGGAUGACGUCAAAUCAUCAUGCCCCUUAUGACCUGGGCUACACACGUGCUACAAUGGAUGGUACAAAGAGCUGCGAACCCGCGAGGGGGAGCUAAUCCGAUAAAACCGUUCUCAGUUCGGAUUGUAGGCUGCAACUCG
RNAcentral lists this ribosomal RNA (539 nucleotides) under uncultured bacterium. RNAcentral's name for it is "bacterial SSU rRNA". It matches the Rfam family "Bacterial small subunit ribosomal RNA", at positions 777 to 1314 of the family's 1533-position model. The record is from RNAcentral.